GUUUUUACAAAUUUUGGUUUUCUUUUUUCUUUUUUUCAUUUUUAGGGGAAGAGAGAGUGAAAGGAACUUUGAGGGUAACGUUGUCAAGGAAGAAAGAAAAAGAAAGAAAAUGUCAAAAUCUGACAGUGAACCAGCAUUUAUUAAGCAUCUACUAUGUGCCAGGUACCAUGCUAAGCCCUGGGGGAUCCAAAGAAAGGCAAAAGCCUGUCUCUGUCCUUGAAGUGCUCACAAUUUAAUGGGAGAAGCAAUCUGCAAACAACUAUGGACAAAUAAGCUAUAUCCAGGAUAAAUUAAAGUUAAUGAACAGAGGGAAGGCAUCAGCUUUAAGGGGAUCAGGAAAGGCUUCUUGUGGAGAGAGCCUUUUGGGAUCAGUUGGCAGGGAAGCUGCAGAAUGUUUCCUGAAUUUGACGCUGGUUUUAUCUGUCUCCAUCAAAGGAAAUUUUGUCAUGGAAUAUUGGAGGCAGAAGAGACUUUAAUGAUGAUUUAUUCUAAACCCUUCAUUUUAUAGAUGCAGAAAUUGAGGUUCAAAGGUAUAUUGUCCUGAAGGUGAUCCAGUCCUAGAACUCAGAUCUCCUGACUUCAAAUUGAGGAUUUGGUCACCUAUCAGUGAAAGGGCAUAAUCUCAUUCUUGAAUUUUUGUAACUUUU
This 647-nucleotide long non-coding RNA is filed under the name Monodelphis domestica (gray short-tailed opossum). RNAcentral describes it as "lncRNA (ENSMODG00000035043.2)". The record is from RNAcentral. Lineage: Eukaryota; Metazoa; Chordata; Mammalia; Didelphimorphia; Didelphidae.